GUCUAUGGCCACACCACCCUGAACACGCCCCAUCUCGUCCGAUCUCGGAAGCUAAGCAGGGUCGGGCCUGGUGAGUGCUUGGAGGGGGAGAAUUUUAACCUUCUGUACAAUAAAAGACACCGAAAAUA
Molecule: ribosomal RNA, 128 nt
Filed under: Microcebus murinus (gray mouse lemur)
Lineage: Eukaryota; Metazoa; Chordata; Mammalia; Primates; Cheirogaleidae
Source: RNAcentral